GACCCCGCACAAGCGGUGGAUCAUGUUGUUUAAUUCGAAGAUACGCGAAAAACCUUACCAGGUCUUGACAUCCCUUGCAAUGCUGUAGAGAUACAGUGGAGGUUAUCAAGGAGACAGGUGGUGCAUGGUUGUCGUCAGCUCGUGUCGUGAGAUGUUGGGUUAAGUCCCGCAACGAGCGCAACCCUUAUUGCUAGUUGCCAUCAUUUAGUUGGGGACUCUAGCGAGACUGCCAGUGAUAAACUGGAGGAAGGUGGGGAUGACGUCAAAUCAUCAUGCCCCUUAUGACCUGGGCUACAAACGUGAUACAAUGGCUAUUACAGAGGGCCGCAAAGCUGUGAAGUGAAGCUAAACCCUUAAAAAUAGUCUCAGUUCGGAUUGAAGUCUGCAACUCGACUUCAUGAAGCCGGAAUCGCUAGUAAUCG
RNAcentral lists this ribosomal RNA (422 nucleotides) under uncultured bacterium. Its description in RNAcentral is "bacterial SSU rRNA". It matches the Rfam family "Bacterial small subunit ribosomal RNA", at positions 920 to 1344 of the family's 1533-position model. The record is from RNAcentral.